CCUAACGGCCAUACCACCCUGGCAACGCCCGAUCUCCGUAUGAUCUCCGGAAGCUAAGCAGGGUCGGGCCCGGUAGUACUUGGAUGGGAGACCUCCGGGAAACCGGGUGAUGUAGGCU
RNAcentral lists this ribosomal RNA (118 nucleotides) under Anas platyrhynchos (mallard). The record is from RNAcentral. Lineage: Eukaryota; Metazoa; Chordata; Aves; Anseriformes; Anatidae.